GAUUACGGCCAUACCACACUGACAACGCCUGAUCUCGGAAGCUAAGCAGAGUUAGGCUGGGUCAGUACUUGGAUGUGUGACCGCCUGGGAAUACCUGGUGCUGUAAGCA
This is a ribosomal RNA of Cottoperca gobio, 109 nucleotides long. The record is from Ensembl. NCBI's taxonomy places the organism in Eukaryota, Metazoa, Chordata, Actinopteri, Perciformes, Bovichtidae.